UGAACGCUGGCGGCAUGCUUUACACAUGCAAGUCGAACGGUAACAGGCCGCAAGGUGCUGACGAGUGGCGAACGGGUGAGUAAUGCAUCGGAACGUGCCCAGUCGUGGGGGAUAACUACUCGAAAGAGUAGCUAAUACCGCAUACGAUCUAUGGAUGAAAGCGGGGGACCGUAAGGCCUCGCGCGAUUGGAGCGGCCGAUGUCAGAUUAGGUAGUUGGUGGGGUAAAGGCUCACCAAGCCAACGAUCUGUAGCUGGUCUGAGAGGACGACCAGCCACACUGGGACUGAGACACGGCCCAGACUCCUACGGGAGGCAGCAGUAGGGAAUUUUGGACAAUGGGCGCAAGCCUGAUCCAGCAAUGCCGCGUGCAGGAAGAAGGCCUUCGGGUUGUAAACUGCUUUUGUACGGAACGAAACGGCUCUGGUUAAUACCCGGGGCUAAUGACGGUACCGUAAGAAUAAGCACCGGCUAACUACGUG
RNAcentral lists this ribosomal RNA (480 nucleotides) under uncultured bacterium. Its description in RNAcentral is "partial 16S ribosomal RNA". It matches the Rfam family "Bacterial small subunit ribosomal RNA", at positions 30 to 507 of the family's 1533-position model. The record is from RNAcentral.